UACGAGGGGGGCGAGCGUUGUUCGGAAUUAUUGGGCGUAAAGGGUGCGUAGGCGGUUCGGUAAGUCUUAUGUGAAAUCUACAGGCUCAACUUGUAGUCUGCAUGAGAAACUGCCGGGCUUGAGUAUGGGAGGGGUGAGUGGAAUUCCUGGUGUAGCGGUGAAAUGCGUAGAUAUCAGGAGGAACACCUGUGGCGAAAGCGGCUCACUGGACCAUAACUGACGCUGAUGCACGAAAGCUAGGGGAGCAAACAGG
This 253-nucleotide ribosomal RNA is filed under the name uncultured bacterium. RNAcentral describes it as "partial 16S ribosomal RNA". It matches the Rfam family "Bacterial small subunit ribosomal RNA", at positions 524 to 776 of the family's 1533-position model. The record is from RNAcentral.